GUCCGCGUGGCCUAAUGGAUAAGGCAUCGCCCUCCGAAGGCGGGGAUUGGGGGUUCGAGUCCCCUCGAGGACG
Transfer RNA from Phytophthora infestans T30-4, 73 nucleotides. It matches the Rfam family "tRNA". From Rfam's summary of the family: Transfer RNA (tRNA) molecules are approximately 80 nucleotides in length. Their secondary structure includes four short double-helical elements and three loops (D, anti-codon, and T loops). Further hydrogen bonds mediate the characteristic L-shaped molecular structure. tRNAs have two regions of fundamental functional importance: the anti-codon, which is responsible for specific mRNA codon recognition, and the 3' end, to which the tRNAs corresponding amino acid is attached (by aminoacyl-tRNA synthetases). tRNAs cope with the degeneracy of the genetic code in two manners: having more than one tRNA (with a specific anti-codon) for a particular amino acid; and 'wobble' base-pairing, i.e. permitting non-standard base-pairing at the 3rd anti-codon position. NCBI's taxonomy places the organism in Eukaryota, Oomycota, Peronosporomycetes, Peronosporales, Peronosporaceae. The record is from Rfam.